AGUUUGGCGACCGCGAAGAAGGAAAAAGGGCGGGCGGGCGGCUGUCCUCUCACCGUCCUCACCCCGCGAGGCCCGGCCCGCUCCUCCGUCGUGGAUUUCGCGGCGAUCCCCCCGGCAGCUCUUUGCAAAGCUGCUUGAAACUUCUCCCAAACUCGGCAUGGAUACGACUGCGGCGGCGGCGCUGCCUGCUUUUGUGGCGCUCUUGCUCCUCUCUCCUUGGCCUCUCCUGGGAUCGGCCCAAGGCCAGUUCUCCGCAGGUGGCUGUACUUUUGAUGAUGGUCCAGGGGCCUGUGAUUACCACCAGGAUCUGUAUGAUGACUUUGAAUGGGUGCAUGUUAGUGCUCAAGAGCCUCAUUAUCUACCACCCGAGAUGCCCCAAGGUUCCUAUAUGAUAGUGGACUCUUCAGAUCACGACCCUGGAGAAAAAGCCAGACUUCAGCUGCCUACAAUGAAGGAGAACGACACUCACUGCAUUGAUUUCAGUUACCUAUUAUAUAGCCAGAAAGGACUGAAUCCUGGCACUUUGAACAUAUUAGUUAGGGUGAAUAAAGGACCUCUUGCCAAUCCAAUUUGGAAUGUGACUGGAUUCACGGGUAGAGAUUGGCUUCGGGCUGAGCUAGCAGUGAGCACCUUUUGGCCCAAUGAAUAUCAGGUAAUAUUUGAAGCUGAAGUCUCAGGAGGGAGAAGUGGUUAUAUUGCCAUUGAUGACAUCCAAGUACUGAGUUAUCCUUGUGAUAAAUCUCCUCAUUUCCUCCGUCUAGGGGAUGUAGAGGUGAAUGCAGGGCAAAACGCUACAUUUCAGUGCAUUGCCACAGGGAGAGAUGCUGUGCAUAACAAGUUAUGGCUCCAGAGACGAAAUGGAGAAGAUAUACCAGUAGCCCAGACUAAGAACAUCAAUCAUAGAAGGUUUGCCGCUUCCUUCAGAUUGCAAGAAGUGACAAAAACUGACCAGGAUUUGUAUCGCUGUGUAACUCAGUCAGAACGAGGUUCCGGUGUGUCCAAUUUUGCUCAACUUAUUGUGAGAGAACCGCCAAGACCCAUUGCUCCUCCUCAGCUUCUUGGUGUUGGGCCUACAUAUUUGCUGAUCCAACUAAAUGCCAACUCGAUCAUUGGCGAUGGUCCUAUCAUCCUGAAAGAAGUAGAGUACCGAAUGACAUCAGGAUCCUGGACAGAAACCCAUGCAGUCAAUGCUCCAACUUACAAAUUAUGGCAUUUAGAUCCAGAUACCGAAUAUGAGAUCCGAGUUCUACUUACAAGACCUGGUGAAGGUGGAACGGGGCUCCCAGGACCUCCACUAAUCACCAGAACAAAAUGUGCAGAACCUAUGAGAACCCCAAAGACAUUAAAGAUUGCUGAAAUACAGGCAAGACGGAUUGCUGUGGACUGGGAAUCCUUGGGUUACAACAUUACGCGUUGCCACACUUUUAAUGUCACUAUCUGCUACCAUUACUUCCGUGGUCACAACGAGAGCAAGGCAGACUGUUUGGACAUGGACCCCAAAGCCCCUCAGCAUGUUGUGAACCAUCUGCCACCUUAUACAAAUGUCAGCCUCAAGAUGAUCCUAACCAAUCCAGAGGGAAGGAAGGAGAGUGAAGAGACAAUUAUUCAAACUGAUGAAGAUGUGCCUGGUCCCGUACCAGUAAAAUCUCUUCAAGGAACAUCCUUUGAAAAUAAGAUCUUCUUGAACUGGAAAGAACCUUUGGAUCCAAAUGGAAUCAUCACUCAAUAUGAGAUCAGCUAUAGCAGUAUAAGAUCAUUUGAUCCUGCAGUUCCAGUGGCUGGACCUCCCCAGACUGUAUCAAAUUUAUGGAACAGUACACACCAUGUCUUUAUGCAUCUCCACCCUGGAACCACGUACCAGUUUUUCAUAAGAGCCAGCACGGUCAAAGGCUUUGGUCCAGCCACAGCCAUCAAUGUCACCACCAAUAUCUCAGCUCCAACUUUACCUGACUAUGAAGGAGUUGAUGCCUCUCUCAAUGAAACUGCCACCACAAUAACUGUAUUGUUGAGACCAGCACAAGCCAAAGGUGCUCCUAUCAGUGCUUAUCAGAUUGUUGUGGAAGAACUGCACCCACACCGAACCAAGAGAGAAGCCGGAGCCAUGGAAUGCUACCAGGUUCCUGUCACAUACCAAAAUGCCAUGAGUGGGGGUGCACCGUAUUACUUUGCUGCAGAACUCCCCCCGGGAAACCUACCUGAGCCUGCCCCGUUCACUGUGGGUGACAAUCGGACCUACCAAGGCUUUUGGAACCCUCCUUUGGCUCCGCGCAAAGGAUACAACAUCUAUUUCCAGGCGAUGAGCAGUGUGGAGAAGGAAACUAAAACCCAGUGCGUACGCAUUGCUACAAAAGAUUUAAAGUAGAACCAAAAUUGUAAAAGUGUCCCACAUUGACCUCUGAAGUUCUUUAGAUAUGUCAUGCUAUGUUUCUGUAACUGAGAAA
RNAcentral lists this unclassified non-coding RNA (2441 nucleotides) under Homo sapiens (human). RNAcentral's name for it is "protein tyrosine phosphatase receptor type K (ENSG00000273993.4)". The record is from RNAcentral. Lineage: Eukaryota; Metazoa; Chordata; Mammalia; Primates; Hominidae.